RNAcentral lists this ribosomal RNA (427 nucleotides) under uncultured bacterium. RNAcentral's name for it is "bacterial SSU rRNA". It matches the Rfam family "Bacterial small subunit ribosomal RNA", at positions 355 to 774 of the family's 1533-position model. The record is from RNAcentral.
UGGGGAAUUUUGGACAAUGGGCGCAAGCCUGAUCCAGCAAUGCCGCGUGCAGGAUGAAGGCCUUCGGGUUGUAAACUGCUUUUGCACGGAACGAAACGGCUCUGGUUAAUACCUGGGGCUAAUGACGGUACCGUAAGAAUAAGCACCGGCUAACUACGUGCCAGCAGCCGCGGUAAUACGUAGGGUGCGAGCGUUAAUCGGAAUUACUGGGCGUAAAGCGUGCGCAGGCGGUGAUGUAAGACAGAUGUGAAAUCCCCGGGCUCAACCUGGGACCUGCAUUUGUGACUGCAUCGCUGGAGUGCGGCAGAGGGGGAUGGAAUUCCGCGUGUAGCAGUGAAAUGCGUAGAUAUGCGGAGGAACACCGAUGGCGAAGGCAAUCCCCUGGGCCUGCACUGACGCUCAUGCACGAAAGCGUGGGGAGCAAACA